This 75-nucleotide transfer RNA is filed under the name Camelus bactrianus (Bactrian camel). It matches the Rfam family "tRNA". Rfam says of the family: Transfer RNA (tRNA) molecules are approximately 80 nucleotides in length. Lineage: Eukaryota; Metazoa; Chordata; Mammalia; Artiodactyla; Camelidae. RNAcentral also lists the same sequence under 2 other names. The record is from Rfam by way of RNAcentral.
GGAUAUAGCUCAGUGGUAGAGCACAUGCAUAGCAUAGCAUGCAUGAGGUCCUGGGUUCAAUCCGCAGUAUUUCCA